RNAcentral lists this unclassified non-coding RNA (332 nucleotides) under soil metagenome. Its description in RNAcentral is "partial contains 5.8S ribosomal RNA, internal transcribed spacer 2, and large subunit ribosomal RNA". The stretch from base 1 to 120 matches the Rfam family "5.8S ribosomal RNA", at positions 35 to 154 of the family's 154-position model. The record is from RNAcentral.
GAUGAAGAACGUAGCAAAAUGCGAUAAGUAAUGUGAAUUGCAGAAUUCAGUGAAUCAUCGAAUCUUUGAACGCACAUUGCGCCCGCCAGUAUUCUGGCGGGCAUGCCUGUUCGAGCGUCAUUUCAACCCUCAAGCACAGCUUGGUGUUGGGACUCGCGUUAAUUCGCGUUCCCCAAAUUGAUUGGCGGUCACGUCGAGCUUCCAUAGCGUAGUAGUAAAACCCUCGUUACUGGUAAUCGUCGCGGCCACGCCGUUAAACCCCAACUUCUGAAUGUUGACCUCGGAUCAGGUAGGAAUACCCGCUGAACUUAACCAUAUCAAUAAGCGGAGGA